Long non-coding RNA from Macrobrachium nipponense, 603 nucleotides. RefSeq lists it as uncharacterized. The record is from RefSeq and is a predicted model, not a curated record. NCBI's taxonomy places the organism in Eukaryota, Metazoa, Arthropoda, Malacostraca, Decapoda, Palaemonidae. The transcript is spliced from 3 exons.
UUUCUUUUGCAGGAGCGAAAGAGACAAUACAUAGAUUCUUCAUUUCACCAAGAAAUCUGUCCGCAGGUUCUGACGAGCAAUUCGUCUUCAUUGCUGGCGAGAACUACAUGCAGGUGAUUUUGAGGAGGUUUGGCAAGGGGCGGUACCACUUCGGUCGGGACGUCUUCUUUCCUGCUUACGUGGGUUUAGCUUGUCAGUCGGGAUCGCCAAUCGCACAUGUCUUCACACAAAGGAUACUCAAUAUGCAGGCAUCCGGGCUCGUCAGUCAUUGGAUUGACAUCUCGCUCAAGGGAAUCCCACGGGACCCAGCGGUAACAGCUGCGGAAGAAGAAGGGAAAAGCUUCGCAAUCACACUCACCCACCUUCAGGCUGGUUUCUACCUGGCCUUCCUGGGGCUGUCAGUCGCCACUGUGGUGUUUCUCCUAGAAUUAGUCAUAUUCUACCUCAGAGGAAAUAAAUUUCAACAGGCUGACUAAACCACCUUCAAGCUAAGUUUCGACGGUCACACUUUUGGCAGACAGACUUGAUCCAUAUGCUCUCAUCAGUACCUCCUUUAUAACACGCCAGUUCGCUUAAAAUGUGGGGGAUGAGUGCAUUUGAAAG